This 241-nucleotide unclassified non-coding RNA is filed under the name plant metagenome. Its description in RNAcentral is "partial contains small subunit ribosomal RNA, internal transcribed spacer 1, and 5.8S ribosomal RNA". The record is from RNAcentral.
UUUCCGUAGGUGAACCUGCGGAAGGAUCAUUAAAGAGUAAGGGUCUUCGGGCCCGAUCUCCAACCCUUUGUUUAACUACCAUGUUGCUUUGGCGGGCCCGUCUCACGACCGCCGGAAGUUUGGCUUCGACCAAACUUCUGGCCCGUGCCCGUCAGUGGCCCCUUCAAAUUCUUGAUCAAGUAUGAUGUCUUAGUUAAAAACUUAAUAGUUAAGACUUUCAACAACGGAUCUCUUGGUUCUG